This 253-nucleotide ribosomal RNA is filed under the name uncultured bacterium. RNAcentral's name for it is "partial 16S ribosomal RNA". It matches the Rfam family "Bacterial small subunit ribosomal RNA", at positions 524 to 776 of the family's 1533-position model. The record is from RNAcentral.
UACGAAGGGGGCUAGCGUUGCUCGGAAUUACUGGGCGUAAAGGGCGCGUAGGCGGAUAGUUUAGUCAGAGGUAAAAGCCCAGGGCUCAACCUUGGAACUGCCUUUGAUACUGGCUAUCUUGAGUACGGGAGAGGUGUGUGGAACUCCGAGUGUAGAGGUGAAAUUCGUAGAUAUUCGGAAGAACACCAGUGGCGAAGGCGACACACUGGCCCGUUACUGACGCUGAGGCGCGAAAGCGUGGGGAGCAAACGGG